AUGACAGGAUUACCUCUGGUUUGGAGUCAAGCUCAUCAGAAAGCAUGGGUCACCCUGUGUGGAACCUGUAGGAUAAUACGCUGAUCCAUUAAACGCACCCAGGGCUGCAGACCUGAUUGGCAGGGUACAGCGGCAUGGGACACACCUGGGCCCGGUAUGCCCCAUGCGUAUAGAAGCCAGAGCAGCAGUUAGUCUGGGGUUGGACCUCCUUCAUCUCACAGUUUCCGUUGUUUUGUUUUUGGUUUCUUGUCUUUGUUUUUACAGCACAACAUCCAUGCAGCACAUUUUCACUCAUCCACUCCCUACACUACUGACUUUACAGAUUCUUCCCAUUCAUUGGUUUCGCUUAUUUUCUUAUUAAUAAAUCACUUUGUUAUUUA
This is a long non-coding RNA of Micropterus salmoides (largemouth bass), 380 nucleotides long. RefSeq lists it as uncharacterized. The transcript is spliced from 2 exons. The record is from RefSeq and is a predicted model, not a curated record. Lineage: Eukaryota; Metazoa; Chordata; Actinopteri; Centrarchiformes; Centrarchidae.